UACAGAGGUCUCAAGCGUUGUUCGGAUUCAUUGGGCGUAAAGGGUGCGUAGGCGGCGCGGUAAGUCGGGUGUGAAAUCUCGGAGCUUAACUCCGAAACUGCAUUCGAUACUGCCGUGCUUGAGGACUGGAGAGGAGACUGGAAUUUACGGUGUAGCGGUGAAAUGCGUAGAUAUCGUAAGGAAGACCAGUGGCGAAGGCGGGUCUCUGGACUGUAACUGACACUGAGGCACGAAAGCGUGGGGAGCAAACAGG
Molecule: ribosomal RNA, 253 nt
Filed under: uncultured bacterium
Lineage: Bacteria
Description: partial 16S ribosomal RNA
Rfam family: Bacterial small subunit ribosomal RNA
Source: RNAcentral